GUAACAACUCACCUGCCGAAGCAACUAGCCCUGAAAAUGGAUGGCGCUCUAGCGUCGUGCCUAUACCGGGCCGUCAACGGCAAAGUGGGCAACUGCUGCAAGGCAGGUGCCGUUACGCCUUGACGAGUAGGAGGGUCGCGGCGGUGUGCGCAGAAGGGUCGGGGCGUGAGCCCGCCUGGAGCCGCCGUCGGCGCAGAUCUUGGUGGUAGUAGCAAAUACUCUAGCGAGGGCCUGGAGGACUGACGUGGAGAAGGGUUUCUUGUGAACAGCCGUUGCACAAGAGUCAGUCGACCCUAAGCCCUAGGAGAAAUCCGAUGUUGAUGGGUGGCUAGACAAAAUACCACGUUCGGUUUGUUGCGAAGGCCACAAGGUCUACAAGUUCAGCCUCUUUGGCGCGGACAGUGGUCUUGGUGGCACUACGUUUCAGCCCGAGGAGAGCGACAGCUUGCAAUCACAGACCCGGCACUGUUGUGUCUGUGGCGCUGUGCCUGCUGUGCGCGAACCAGGGUUCUGGACGGAGUCGUGACAACUGCUCCUGUGGGGCAAAAGGGAAUCCGGUUCCUAUUCCGGAACCCGGCUGCGGAACCGUCACUCUGCGGGCACUCGCCUGCGAGCGCUCGUCGGGGUAACCCAAACUGGCCCGGAGACGCCGGCGGGGGGUCUGGAAAGAGUUUUCUUUUCUUUAUAAGCGUUCGAGUACCCUGGAAUCCUAUAGCAGGGAGAUAGGGUUUGGAACGCGAAGAGCACCGCAGUUGCGGCGGUGUCUGGACCUUCCCCCCGGACCUUGAAAAUCCGGGUGAGGGCUACGCGGAAGUCGCGCCGGAUCGUACCCAUAUCCGCAGCAGGUCUCCAAGGUUAAGAGCCUCUAGUCGAUAGAAUAAUGUAGGUAA
This 890-nucleotide ribosomal RNA is filed under the name Pintalia bicaudata. RNAcentral describes it as "eukaryotic LSU rRNA". It matches the Rfam family "Eukaryotic large subunit ribosomal RNA", at positions 1282 to 1907 of the family's 3401-position model. Lineage: Eukaryota; Metazoa; Arthropoda; Insecta; Hemiptera; Cixiidae. The record is from RNAcentral.